Molecule: long non-coding RNA, 646 nt
Organism: Daphnia pulex (common water flea)
Lineage: Eukaryota; Metazoa; Arthropoda; Branchiopoda; Diplostraca; Daphniidae
Exons: 2
Source: RefSeq, a predicted model, not a curated record
CUGAAUUUGUUUCAAGGUGAAUACCCGGUUGUCCACUGAUGGCCAACUGGGAUCGAUGCUGAGGUCCGUGCCAGUGGGCUACCAGAUCUUCAGCCUCGCACAUCUUUUAAAAAAACGGCUUCCGCUCAAUCGAAAAAGCUUCCAGCUACUUCUGUAAUAAAAAGACUCGUCGUGACCUUAUCAUUGAAACGCGGAAAAUGGCACAAACUGUGGUCCUCUUCCUGGUGCUCGUGUCGGUAUUGAACGCGGCUACUUCGGCUUCGCUCAAUAAACGUCAGACGGGCUUGGUAGGAGGAUAUUCAUCCGCCAACGUACACGACAUCGAUGUUAAUGAGAUGGCCGAUUUCUCAAGAAGAGCCAUUUCGUCAAAAAGCAACUCCGGACCUUCGACUCUGAUCCGAAUCGUAAAAGCUGAAAAGCAAGUUGUGGCCGGGAUGAAUUAUAAAUUGACUCUCGAGAUGGAAAAUGCCAACGACGGAGUCAUUCUCUGCGACGUCAUUGUUUUCGACCAGCCGUGGACGAACACGCGUCGACUACGCGAGUCCAGUUGCAUGGCGGUUUGUACGGGCAAACAAAUUUUUUGAAUUGAAUAUUAUUAGUGUGUAGCUAGUAAUGAGUGCCGUAAUAAACCAAUCUUUAAUAACAA